RNAcentral lists this ribosomal RNA (272 nucleotides) under uncultured bacterium. RNAcentral's name for it is "partial 16S ribosomal RNA". It matches the Rfam family "Bacterial small subunit ribosomal RNA", at positions 524 to 794 of the family's 1533-position model. The record is from RNAcentral.
UACAGAGGUCCCCAAGCGUUGUUCGGAUUUACUGGGCGUAAAGGGUGCGUAGGUGGUGAGGUAAGUUUGAUGUGAAAUCUCCGGGCCUAACCCGGAAACUGCAUCGAAUACUAUCUUGCUAGAGGAUUGGAGGGGAGACUGGAAUACUUGGUGUAGCAGUGAAAUGCGUGGAUAUCAAGUAGAACACCAGUGGCGAAGGCGAGUCUCUGGACAACUCCUGACACUGAGGCACGAAAGCUAGGGGAGCAAACAGGAUUAGAAACCCUGGUAGU